UACGGGGGGGGGCAAGCGUUGUUCGGAAUUACUGGGCGUAAAGGGCUCGUAGGUGGCCAACUAAGUCAGACGUGAAAUCCCUCGGCUUAACCGGGGAACUGCGUCUGAUACUGGAUGGCUUGAGUUCGGGAGAGGGAUGCGGAAUUCCAGGUGUAGCGGUGAAAUGCGUAGAUAUCUGGAGGAACACCGGUGGCGAAGGCGGCAUCCUGGACCGACACUGACGCUGAGGAGCGAAAGCCAGGGGAGCAAACGGG
RNAcentral lists this ribosomal RNA (254 nucleotides) under uncultured bacterium. RNAcentral describes it as "partial 16S ribosomal RNA". It matches the Rfam family "Bacterial small subunit ribosomal RNA", at positions 524 to 776 of the family's 1533-position model. The record is from RNAcentral.